RNAcentral lists this long non-coding RNA (2956 nucleotides) under Callithrix jacchus (white-tufted-ear marmoset). Its description in RNAcentral is "lncRNA (ENSCJAG00000077092.1)". The record is from RNAcentral. Lineage: Eukaryota; Metazoa; Chordata; Mammalia; Primates; Cebidae.
CACACAUUCACAGGUGCUUCCUGUUUUUUCAAACACCUUGCCCACCUUCUGCACACCAAGCGUGGAUUCUGCAAAAUGUAAGCCCAACAGGAAGCUGCCUGCAAUUUCAGGUAGCUUUUCUGACUCUUGAAAAGAUCUUGAGUAUACUUUCAGAGAAAUGCCAGCAAAAACUGUAGUCAUUUGGGAAGGAACAAUUCUGGAAGAAAGAGAUACAGCGAACUAGCACAAAGAGGUUUGAAAGGUUCGUGACAGCUCACAGCUCAUGAUGGUGGCAAUCUUGAGGAUACAGAAAACUCAUUCCUCAUGCAGGGAAGAAGAAAAUAUUCUAAAGAAGUGAUAAGCAUAUUCCAUGAAAUCAAGAAAGUCUGGCUCUGUGAUUUGCCUAAAACCAACAGAAGGCUGCAGAAGGAACAUCAUAUGACUUCAGAGUCUCAGCAGCAAAAGGCCUUUCAGCUUCUGAAAAGCUGUUGUUGCUGUGAGAUAGGAAGCCUGGCCAGUUUCCAUGAGAAUGGGAGAGCACACCUGGUCAACAGGGAGAGCCAGCCUUCAGCCAUGUGAGUGAGACCAUCCAGCCUCACUUAAGCUGCCGGAUGACUGAAGCCAGGUAAGUGACCACAGGCAAGACCAGCAAAAGAACAACUGACUGAGCCCAGCCCAAAUUGUUAAGGCAUAGCAAUUCAGGAAAAGACAAAUUUUUGUGUUUUAAAUUAGGAUUUGUUAUGGAGAAAUAGAUAACUGAUAAAGCUCCAAAUCCUAAUCGAUACAAGAAAAUCAACACCUUUUAUAUUACCAUGACACAAACUAUUUUCUUAAUAGUCAUCAUUAAAGCUUUAUAUUUCUAACUGCCCUUCCUCUACUACGAGGACUACUGUGCUGGUGCAUUUAAGUGAGUGUAUACACACAAAGACAUAUUCUUCAGUUUCCCAACUAGUUACUCAUUUACUCUGUUGGACUUUCAUUUCCAAAUAUUGCUAUAUUUCCAGUUCAGUACAAUUAACUAGCUUCACUCCCAUAUAUCCAGCUCUUUCUGUCUGUGAAGAGAGGCUUACUAUUACUUAUUAUGUACCAGGAACUGUUUCUCAGUAUCACUUUGUCAGGCAGGUGACCAUUACUCUGCUCAUUUUAUAUACAAGAUAACUGAGGUUCAGUAGAUGGCCAUUCUACCAAUUUCAUACUCCCUCAUUUAAGUCAGCCUGCAAGAGGUUUUAAAGCAAAUGUCUCUACAUUUAAAAAGAAAGUCUCUACCUUUCUUAAAAUAUGUCCUUCACUUGGUUUCCAACCAUCACACUUUCCUGGUUUUCUCAUAACCUUGAUUUCUCAGUCCCUUUGAUGACUUUUCUUCAAGCUCAUUCAAUGUCCGAAUGCCCUAAGUUUUUACAUUUGAUCCUAUUAUUUUCUCUAUCAAUAACUACUGGACAGGUGAUUUCAUCUAGUCAACCAUGACAUUCAGAAUCAACUGCAAAAUAGAGAUAGGAGUCAAAGAGAAGAGAUAAAUAUAUUACUCUUAUUACUUAUUUUUAAAAUAUUUAUAUUGGAAAAUAUGAUUGGGAUACCUACUAACCCAUACAAACACAAGAACAUCUGGGCAACCACAGGCCUCCUCCAAUGCAAAUUAGGGUGAAAAACUCACAGUAUGAAGGAUUAAAAAAUGUAUAUUCUCUGAAGGCAGAUAUGCCCUUCCAGAUACAAGAAAGUGAAUGAACCAUUAAUACUGAGUUCUUUCUCCCAAGCUGACCAAUCAGUUAUGUCGAUUUGUCUUUCCCAGGGAAGAGUCAUCUUUUGUAACACUGAUGGAGGUCUGUGAGAAGUCACAAUUGUAACACUGAUGGAAGUCCCCUAUAGAAACAUAAAUAUUUGGAAAUAUGUGUUUCCCCCAUAACAAAUAUUGUCCUUAUCCUGUGGCUUUCCAUUAUGUCUCCACUCUCAAUAUCUUCCCUGAGCCUCAGAAUUAUAUGUACACCUGUCUAUUCAGUCUCUGCUUGAAAGCCUAAAGAGCAUUUCAAACUCAACAUGUCAAAGAAGGUACCUUUCUUUCUCUUUCUUCCUUUCUUUCUUUCUUUCUUUCUUUCUUUCUUUCUUUCUUUCUUUCUUUCUUUCUUUCUUUCUCUUUCCUUUCUUUUUCUUUCUUUCCUUUUUUUUUGAGAUGGAGUUUCGCUCUUGUUACCCAGGAUGGGGUGCAAUGGUGCAAUCUCAGCUCACCGCAACCUCCACCUCCUGGGUUCAGGCAAUUCUUCUGCCUCAGCCUCCUCAGUAGCUGGGAUUACAGGCAUGUGCCACCACGCCCAGCUAAUUUUUUGUAUUUUUAGUAGAGACCGAGUUUCACUCUUUUUUUCUUUCUUUCUUCUUCUUCUUCUUCUUUUUUUUUUUUUUUAACUAUCUCUUUACUCCUGUUUAGUUUGGUAGGGUUGCCUCUUUACUCCUCUUUAGUUUGGAAGCUUCAACAGCAGAAUCUGUAUCCUCUCACAGUUCUAGAGGCGGGGAGUCCAAGAUUAAGGAGCCAGCAGUGUUGGUUUCUCCUGCUAUCUUUCUCCUUGGAUACCUUCUUACUAUGUCCUCACAUGGCCUUUUCUCUGCACACACACAUCUCUGGUGUCUCUCCCUUCUUAUAAGGAAUCAACCACAUUAAAUUAGAGACCCACCCUUAUUAUCUCAUUUAACCUUAAUUACCUCCUUAAAGCCCCUAUCUUCAAACAUAGUCACAUAACUGGUUAUACUGGUUCCUUUCCUGCCCUACUACAGUCUAUUUCUCAUAGAUCCACCAGAGUCAUCCUGAAAGUAAAUCAGAUAUCAUUGCUCCUCUACUUUGCAUUCUCUAGUGACUUCUCAUUACACUUAGAAUAAAACCCAACUCCAGUUUAUAACCCACUUUCAUCUACCCUUGCCCACCUCACCAUCCUUAGUAUACAUUACUCUUCCCCAUCAUUCACUCAACUCCAGUCACUUUGGCCACCUUGAC